GACGUAGGGCGCAAGCGUUGUCCGGAUUUAUUGGGCGUAAAGAGCUCGUAGGCGGCUUGUCGCGUCGACUGUGAAAACCCGCAGCUUAACUGCGGGACUGCAGUCGAUACGGGCAGGCUAGAGUUCGGUAGGGGAGACUGGAAUUCCUGGUGUAGCGGUGAAAUGCGCAGAUAUCAGGAGGAACACCGGUGGCGAAGGCGGGUCUCUGGGCCGAUACUGACGCUGAGGAGCGAAAGCGUGGGGAGCGAACAGG
This 253-nucleotide ribosomal RNA is filed under the name uncultured bacterium. RNAcentral's name for it is "partial 16S ribosomal RNA". It matches the Rfam family "Bacterial small subunit ribosomal RNA", at positions 524 to 776 of the family's 1533-position model. The record is from RNAcentral.